Mauremys mutica (yellowpond turtle) is the source of this 594-nucleotide long non-coding RNA. RefSeq lists it as uncharacterized. Lineage: Eukaryota; Metazoa; Chordata; Testudines; Geoemydidae. The record is from RefSeq and is a predicted model, not a curated record. The transcript has 3 exons.
CCCCGCCCUGCGGACGCGGCGUCACCGGCUCACACCCAGGAAGCGGAUUCGGCGGCGGCCGCCUGGGCUGGGAGUGCACAGGCGCGUGGACCACGCCCGGCGCAUGCUCAGUGGCACCCGCUGAAGCCGCUGCCCCCUCACGCUGCCCUGACUAGGCCAGAAACUCCCCUGGGGGGGGGGUCGCUGCCCAAAUAGUGGAGACCCCCCCGCCGGAGUCACUGCGGCAGCUGGGGGGCGGGACACCGGACAUUGCCCCAGGGGGCUGUCUGAGAUACCUUAAUGGGCCCCAUCACCAUCAUACCUUGGAGCAGCCAUCUCCUGCCCUGGCUUGUCAGCUCUGAAACCCUCUAAGUCCCUCUCACAAUGUACCAUCCUUUUUCUUGUUCAUCCCAAGUCAUGGAGCCAGUACCUGGAGCAUAAGGAGUAGCCCCUUUCACAAGGGGAACUCGGGGUCAAACAUGGAGUCUGGAGGAGAGUUGGUACACUAUGGCUCAGAGCAAGAGGACUUCAUCGGCUCUCAUGGCCUUCCAUCCUUUUGAGUUACCUGGAUUAUGCCAAGUGCAUCCCCAACAACCAUAUCUACAUUUUGUCUAU